AAUGAACGCUGGCGGCAUGCCUAACACAUGCAAGUCGAACGAGACCACAGGGACUAGUGGCUCACGGGUGCGUAACGUGUGGGACCCUGCCGUUAGACUCGGAAAUAUACCUUGUAAGGGGUGCUAACACCGGAUAAUGUCCUCGGAUACAAGAUUCAACGUACUUGGGAGGGCACGCGUUGGUUUAACCUGUGGGUAGGGUAAAAGCCUACCAAGGCGACGAUCCAUAGCUGGUCUGAGAGGAUGCUCAGCCACACUUGGACUGAGACACGGCCCAGACUCCUACGGGAAGCAGCAGUGGGGAAUAUUGGACAAUGGGCGAAAUCCUGAUCCAGCAAUGCCUCGUGAGUGAUGAAGGCCUUAGGGUUGUAAAGCUCUUUUACCCGGGAUGAUAAUGACAGUACCGGGAGAAUAAGCUCCGGCUAACUCCGUG
Molecule: ribosomal RNA, 433 nt
Filed under: uncultured bacterium
Lineage: Bacteria
Description: partial 16S ribosomal RNA
Rfam family: Bacterial small subunit ribosomal RNA
Source: RNAcentral